GAGACGGCAAAGGAGCGGUGGACCUCGCUGGCACCUGACUUGGCUGUGGGAGAUGUGGGGUGGGGUGGAGACUUCAACGACCCAAUUGUAUCUACUAACGACCCAAUCACGAUUUUCUUUCACGCAGGUAUGGACAAGCUUUGGUCUGACUGGGAGGUCUUCAACAUCCAUGAGCAAGGGGA
This 182-nucleotide non-coding RNA is filed under the name Pteridomonas danica. Lineage: Eukaryota; Dictyochophyceae; Pedinellales. The record is from RNAcentral.